UACGUAAGUGGCGAGCGUUAUCCGGAAUCACUGGGCGUAAAGCGCACGUAGGCGGAUUGUUAAGUCAGGGGUGAAAUCCUGGAGCUCAACUCCAGAACUGCCUUUGAUACUGGCGAUCUUGAGUCCGGGAGAGGUGAGUGGAACUGCGAGUGUAGAGGUGAAAUUCGUAGAUAUUCGCAAGAACACCAGUGGCGAAGGCGGCUCACUGGCCCGGUACUGACGCUGAGGUGCGAAAGCGUGGGGAGCAAACAGG
Molecule: ribosomal RNA, 253 nt
Filed under: uncultured bacterium
Lineage: Bacteria
Description: partial 16S ribosomal RNA
Rfam family: Bacterial small subunit ribosomal RNA
Source: RNAcentral